AUGAGGCUCCGAUCCUGCGGACGUACACGUGGAAAGUAUCGAGUGGCGCGGCAGGGGAGUGCAGUGGAGUUGUGAAAGAGAAGAAAAAGGAGAAAUGUAAGAAAGAGCUGGGAAGGACGCGUGUGGUGGAGAUUGAAGAGGCUGCUGAUAAUGGGGCUGUGGUUUUAAGACAGGUUCGUUAGUGUAUAGGCUGGAUUUGAUCCUCGCUCUCUAUUCAUUCUAAAUGCCAUCUUGGUGCAGGUUUAUGGUCCUAGUACGUAGUUCUUUUUCAUUUCAUUACUUGUCAUCUGAAUCAGAGACCAAUUCUGAGUUAAUAUUUCAUAGUCUCACAUAGUGACCUAUUUAGCAAUGUGGUAAGUAGUAAUGUGGUAUUAGGGGUCUCCAACGGGUGGGCCGGGCCGGGCCGUAAAUAGGAGGCCCGCGGCCCAGCUCAGGCCGGGCCUAUGGGCCCAUUGACUAGUCAACGAGCCGGGCCGGGCCCAUGGGCUUUUUGAAUUAAGCCAAAAUGGCUUUCAAAAAAGCCAAGGGAAGGGGGGAUUCGAACCCCUUCCCUCAUGUUUAAACUUUAAGCUUCUAACCCGUUAAACUAUAUUUUUUUUAUGUUUAUUAAUUGAGUUAGUUAUAUAUAUAUAAAAAUAAAGUAUAUUAUUUUUUUAAAAAAAAAUUAAAGGCUCCAGCCCAUGUGACUGGUGGAGCUAAGCUUCCAACGGUCACAUGACCAAUUAUUUUGAAUUUUGAUUUUUUUUUUUUUAACCUUCCUAUAAAUACAUUUUCUUCCUUUUCAUUUUUUCAUCAAAUUCUCUCUAUUUCUCUCUCAUUGUAAUAUUUCAAAUUCUUUUAUUUUUUCCUCAAAUUAUACAAUAUUGUUGGUGGUGCAAAACAAGCAUUGGUGGCUCCAAGAGUUCAAAUUUGCUAGGAAUUUCUGUAUCGGUUCUCUAAUUAAGUAACAUACUUCACUCCUACUAUAUUUUUUUGUUACAUUUUUUUUUUAUAUUUAUUACUUUAUUAUUUUUGACAUAAUAUUUUAAAUAAUUAUAAUAUGAAAAGUGCUUCUUCGUCUGGUCCAUGUGAUGAAAUAUCAUCAAACAAAAAAUUUACUUCAAAUAUAUGAAAUUUUUUGACAUAAUAGAAAUAAUUUUAGAAAAUAAUAAAAAAGAAAUAAAAGCAAAAUGUAAAAUUUGUAAUAAAUUUCUUACUGGUAGCUCAAAUGCAGGUACAAGUCAUUUAAAAAAACGUCGUGAAAAUUGUAAAACUAAAAAUAAUGUAGAUAUUAGAAAUUAUAUGCAAUUAGGUAAAAAUGAAAGUGAAAAUUUAAAAACAUUUUCUUAUGAUGAAUCUAACUGUCGUGAAGAAAUGAUUGAUUAUAUAAUAAGAGCAGAACAACCUUUCAACAUGAUAGAAACUCAUGAUUUUGUAGGAACAAUUCAACGAGGUAUUAAUCCUCAAUUUAAAGGUUGGUCUGGAAAUACGGUUAAAAGAGAUAUUAUGAAAAAAAUUUAUACACAAAAAGAAAUUUUAAAAAUUUUUUUUGCAAAUUUUGAAGGAAAUAUUUGUUUAACAUCUGAUAUUUGGACAUCUUUAACUCACACUGGUUUUUUAUAUAUAACUGCUCACUACAUUGAUAAUGAAUGGAAAUUAAAUAAAAAAAUAAUUUCAUUUAAAUUAAUAAAUGCUCCACAUAGUGGUAAAAAUAUAACAUCUUUAAUAAAUGAUGUUAAACUAUGUGGAACAUUUAUUAAUUUAAAUGAAAUUAUUCUUUUAUUUAAUUUCCAUUCAUUAUCAAUGUAGUGAGCAGUUAUACAUAAAAAACCAGUGUGAGUUAAAAAUGUCCAAAUAUCAGAUGUUAAACAAAUAUUUCCUUCAAAAUUUGCAAAAAAAAAUUUUAAAAUUUCUUUUUGUGUAUAAAAUUUUUUCAUAAUAUCUCUUUUAACUGUAUUUCCAAACCAACCUUUAAAUUGAGGAUUAAUACCUCGUUGAAUUGUUCCUGCAAAAUCAUGAGUUUCCAUCAUGUUGAAAAGUUGUUCUACUCUUAUUAUAUAAUCAAUCAUUUCUUCACGACAGUUAGAUUCAUCAUAAGAAAAUGUUUUUAAAUUUCUACUUUCAUUUUUACCUAAUUGCAUAUAAUUUCUAAUAUCUACAUUAUUUUUAGUUUUACAAUUUUCAUGAUGUCUUUUUAAAUGACUUAUGCCUGCAUUUGAGCCACCAGUAAGAAAUUUUACAUUUUGCUUUUAUUUCUUUUUUAUUAUUUUCUAAAAUUAUUUCUAUUCUAUCAAAAAAAUUUCAUAUAUUUGAAGUAAAUUUUUUGUUUGAUGAUAUUUCAUCACAUGGAUUAGAUGAAGAAGCACUUGCCAUAUUAUAAUUGUUGAUAAAAUAUUAUGCCAAAAAUAAUAAAGUAAUAAAUAUAAAAAAAAAUGUAACAAAAAAUUAAAGUAGUAGGGGUGAAGUAUGUUACUCAAUUAGAGAACCGAUGCAGAAAUUCCUAGCAAAUUUGAACUCUUGGAGCCACCAAUGCUUAUUUUGCACCACCAAUAAUAUUGUAUAAUUUGAGGGAAAAAUAAAAGAAUUUGAAAUAUUGUAGAAUGUGAGAGAAAUAGAUAGAGAAUUUGAUGAAAAGGAAGAAAAUGUAUUUAUAGGAAGGUUAAAAAAAAUUCAAAAUUCAAAAUAAUUGGCCAUGUGACCGUUGGAGGCUUAGCUCCAACGGUCACAUGGGCUGGAGCUAGGCUCCAAUGGUCACAUGACCGUUGGAGCCUUUACUUUUUUUUAAAAAAAUAAUAUACUUUAUUUAUAUAUAUAUAUAUAUAUAUAUAUAUAUAUAAUUAACUCAAUUAAUAAAUAUAAAAAGAAUGUAGUUAGAAGCUUAAAGUUUAAACAUGAGGGGAGGGGUUCAAAUCCCCCCCUCUCCCUUCCCUUGACUUUUUUGAAAGUCAUAUUUUGGCUUAAUUCAAAAAGCUCGUCGGCCCGGCCCGCGGGCUCAUAGGUCGGGCUGCGGGCCUAGCAUUUUAGCAUGGCCCGGCCCGAGUUGGGCCACGGGCCUCCUAUUUACGGUCUGGCCCGCCCGUUGGAGACCCUUAAAAUACUUCCCAUAUUUGUGAAUUUAUCCUUUCCCACCCUUUUAUUUGAAGGGUAAUCUUUUUUUGACAUAAAUGUUUUUAACUAUUUCAAGUAUUUACACUAUGUUUUAAAGAAAUAAUCUUUUUUAUAAGAAAAUAAUAAGGGUAUUUAUGUCAAAAUAAGAUGAAAGAUUAGAUUUCAAAAUUGGGUUUUCAAUGAACCUGUCAAUCAAAUAAUCCUUAAAUAAGAAAUAUGGAAAAUACUAUGGUACCCUUUCACCCAACUCUCCCAAUCAACCAUUGAAUGUAUGUGGUGACUGCAAGUACAAACUAAUGAACAAAUGGAACCAUUGUAUAAGGUACAAAACAUGGAUUUCGGGUAUAAUGGAAUGGCACCCGAAGCUGUACACGUGACACCACCUGAUUGGUGAUGCUUUUUUGGUACAUAUUGAAAAGGGUAUCUUUCGAUCCUAUAGUAUGAUCAAACCCGGAGUAUGCUUAUAUCAGUAUCUAUCGAAAAGGCAUCAUCAAUCAGGUAAUGCCACGUGUGCAACUCAGGUCUCAUUGUUUUAUACCCUGAUCUUAUUUGGUUUGCGCCAUACAUGAGGUCCCAUUAUCUUGUAUCUUGGUAUCAUCUAAUGGUACUUUGGUUCCAUUAGUUUGUAUUUGGCCUUGUUCCUUUGUACAUUGGUCCCAUUUAUAUGUACCUUGUUCCAUAUAUUUGUACCUUUGUUCAAUGACUAGAUUUCAUCAUAUAUUUUCAAUGGUUCAUAUUCAAAGUUUGGUGGGUAUUGAAUUGGUACUGUAGUAUUUUCCAUAAGACAAAGUAAUGUGUUGAUGUGAUAAUGUCAUAUUAGUUGUCAGGUGAUAAAAUGGAUGGGGAGCAAAUAAAAAUGCACAAUUGAUUUGGUUAAAGGGUUAUAUUUUUCAUAUUCUUGUGUAGAAUCCUCAAUGGUCAUUAAAUUUGGCUCUCAACAUGGAAUAAUGGGUGAUAUGAUUGUGUUACUUCCAAAGAUAUGUAGAUUAUUUAGUUCCUUUUGGCGACUUCCAAUGCUGUGUGGAUUCCUUACUGCUUUUUUGUGACCAUACGUCAUUUGUCUUUCCUUUAUUUGAAAUACAAAUUAAUAUAUGCCAAGAAGAAGAAGCAUAAAAUGUGAAAACGUGAAGAAUUGCAACAAAUGUUUGUUCAACUUAUAUAAUUACUUGUAAAAGAAUCAGCUUGAUUAAAUGAGUUUUAGCUAUUCAAUUUUAGUUAAAUAUUUAGACCAUACGUCAUUUGUCUUUCCUUUAUUUGAAAUACAAAUUAAUAUAUGCCAAGAAGCAUAAAAUGUGAAAACGUGAAGAAUUGCAACAAAUGUUUGUUCAACUUAUAUAAUUACUUGUAAAGGAAUCAGCUUGAUUAAAUGAGUUUUAGCUAUUCAAUUUUAGUUAAAUAUUUAGAACAAGCUGUAGAAUCUUGAAGAAUCAUGCUAAGUGUUUGUCACAUACCCUCAAGUGGGCUUUGUAUUAGCUUGGUUGAAUGACUUUUGGUUGUUAGUUUAUCAUAAUCUUAUUUUCUUUUUAAAAUUCUACGGCACCAAUAAGAAUUUGAUUGUAAUUGAAUGGCUAAAACGUAUCCAAUUAGGAUGACUUUCUUUCUAUUGAUUAGUUGCCCUGUCAUAUGCUGGCUCCAAAUUAUUAAUUGCUAACAUAGCCUGACAACUAAGAACCAUACAAGAGGAGAUGAAACUCAACUUUAGCUAUUUGGAAUUAAGGUCCUCUCCUGAAAAUUCUCACUAGUUAGUGGCCAUUGAAUCCUACCUUGGCAUCCUAGGAAGAGUUAAUAAGAACUGUUUCCUCACAUAUAAACUAAUGUAAUAGACAUUAGAUUGAUUACAUGGGUUGCUAUUCAAUUUUGGUAAAAUAUGUUCAUGAGCUUGGAAAAUUAUGAAAAAACUAAAAAUUAAGCUUAUAUUUUCUGAACUAGAAGCUAAUCAUGUCAAGCAGCUCCUUUUAAUUCUUUUUUUUCUCAAUUAAAUGGGGGUACAUCAAAUGGUUGGUGCUUGUCCUUCUGAUGCUGACAUAGCAAAAUUUGAGACUUUUGAGGACUAUGAGUGAGGAGAUGAACUCUACAACUUCAAUAUGCUGAGGCCUUGUUUUCUGUUGUGGUUUGGAGGAAGGCCU
Molecule: long non-coding RNA, 5213 nt
Filed under: Vitis vinifera (wine grape)
Lineage: Eukaryota; Viridiplantae; Streptophyta; Magnoliopsida; Vitales; Vitaceae
Description: long non-coding RNA (VVIN_LNC005427)
Source: RNAcentral